RNAcentral lists this ribosomal RNA (407 nucleotides) under uncultured bacterium. Its description in RNAcentral is "partial 16S ribosomal RNA". It matches the Rfam family "Bacterial small subunit ribosomal RNA", at positions 28 to 526 of the family's 1533-position model. The record is from RNAcentral.
GAUGAACGCUAGCUACAGGCUUAACACAUGCAAGUCGCGGGACCGGCGCACGGGUGAGUAACGCGGUUCCAACCUGCCCGUCACCACGGGAUAACCCGGCGCAAGUCGGACUAAUACCGUCUGGUGAAGGAUGGGGAUGCGUCCGAUGAGGUUGACGGCGGGGUAACGGCCCAACGUGGCUACGAUCGGUAGGGGUUCUGAGAGGAAGGGCCCCCACACUGGAACUGAGACACGGUCCAGACUCCUACGGGAGGCAGCAGUGAGGAAUAUUGGUCAAUGGGCGUAAGCCUGAACCAGCCAAGUAGCGUGCAGGACGACGGCCUAUGGGUUGUAAACUGCUUUUAUGCGGGGAUAGGUACCGCAUGAAUAAGGACCGGCUAAUUCCGUGCCAGCAGCCGCGGUAAUUC